UUGAGGGUUGUUAUGGACACAUCGUAAGUUCCUCCCAUCCCUCAUUUUGAUCGUGAAACCAUCUGCUCCACUCUUAACCUCAACAGCUUCAACUAUGCUGGAGUUGACAUAAUCUUCAUCGUUUUCAUUGAAAUUCUCGGCUGUGCUCCCAUUUCCAUUCGAGGAUGAACUCAAACAACACUGCACUGUAUAGCGCCCUUGUGCAAUUAGUUGAGGAGAAAAUAAACCCACUUUAGU
This 237-nucleotide unclassified non-coding RNA is filed under the name Hevea brasiliensis (rubber tree). The record is from RNAcentral. Lineage: Eukaryota; Viridiplantae; Streptophyta; Magnoliopsida; Malpighiales; Euphorbiaceae.